This is a long non-coding RNA of Vespula pensylvanica (western yellowjacket), 488 nucleotides long. RefSeq lists it as uncharacterized. The record is from RefSeq and is a predicted model, not a curated record. The transcript is spliced from 2 exons. NCBI's taxonomy places the organism in Eukaryota, Metazoa, Arthropoda, Insecta, Hymenoptera, Vespidae.
CUCCUCUCUCCCUGUCAUCAGUUUUCGUCAUCGAACAUCGUCGUCAUCAUCUUCGACUAUUAAAAUCACGGGAGUCAGUGGAAGAGCAGCCAUGAUCAACGAACGGUGUUAACACGAUAACGGAAGGAAGAAGGAGGAGAACAAAAGCAACAAGAUGUAUCGUCUAAUCGGAGGUGUUCCUAUUUUUUUCUGUCGCAGAUCAAUCGACCAACUUGGACCGAACGAUAAUGGUAACGACGCUCGAUACAUCCUGGCGGACUACACGAGGAACGGAAUUCAACAGGACCACUACUUGGACGAUUGGAAGCCAAUGAGGACGCAGAAUCAACGAGUGCAGCUAGAAUUAAUCAAUAUAUAUAGUAAUCACUGCUUAGCUAUUUAAGAAGAAGAAAAAGAAGAAGAAAAAGAAGAAGAGGAAGAAAAAGAAGAAUACUUGCGGUAAUAAGAAUUAUGGAAGACAAUGAAGAUAAUCAAGAUAAUCAAGAAGA